Molecule: ribosomal RNA, 421 nt
Filed under: uncultured bacterium
Lineage: Bacteria
Description: bacterial SSU rRNA
Rfam family: Bacterial small subunit ribosomal RNA
Source: RNAcentral
UCGGACGUCAAUUGGGAUGACUUAGUGGCGGACGGGUGAGUAACGCGUGGGUAACCUGCCGUAUACAGGGGGAUAACAGUUAGAAAUGACUGCUAAUACCGCAUAAGCGCACAGAACCGCAUGGUACAGUGUGAAAAGCCGAGACGGUAUACGAUGGACCCGCGUCUGAUUAGCCAGUUGGCAGGGUAACGGCCUACCAAAGCAACGAUCAGUAGCCGGCCUGAGAGGGUGAACGGCCACAUUGGGACUGAGACACGGCCCAAACUCCUACGGGAGGCAGCAGUGGGGGAUAUUGCACAAUGGGGGAAACCCUGAUGCAGCGACGCCGCGUGAGUGAAGAAGUAUUUCCGGUAUGUAAAGCUCUAUCAGCAGGGAAGAAAAUGACGGUACCUGACUAAGAAGCUCCGGCUAAAUACGUGCC